This is a long non-coding RNA of Dioscorea cayenensis subsp. rotundata (Guinea yam), 500 nucleotides long. RefSeq lists it as uncharacterized. The record is from RefSeq and is a predicted model, not a curated record. The transcript is spliced from 2 exons. NCBI's taxonomy places the organism in Eukaryota, Viridiplantae, Streptophyta, Magnoliopsida, Dioscoreales, Dioscoreaceae.
UAGGGCCAUGGAAUCAAUUAUAAUCACGAAUCGAUUUUAAUUUUUGUUUAUUUUUGGUAACAAGCAACACUUAAAUGGUUAAAUUGUGUGCAGGGUUCAAGUCAAUUUUUCCCAAAGAUUCUUGUUGUUGUGUGAUUGUUAGCCUAGGAUAUAUUUGGCAUCAUUCCUGGGGAUACAGAUUACCAGAUUUUUGCUAAAGAUAAUGGCGAUAUUCAAGGACUGGACAUUAUCUUUGUCCUUGGUGGUUAUUUCUAUCAUACAUCUUACGAUACAAUCGAAAGGCUAUUGUAUGCAUUAGGAAGUACUGUUAUUCAAAUUCUCUGUUUUGAAUAUCUUGAUCUUGAUAUCUUCACUAAGUGGGUUUUGAUAUUAGAAUGUAUUGAUGAAACAGUCCCGGAAGUAUUCCAGGACUGGAUCUUGUUUGUUCCCCAGCAACAAGGCUGCAAUACUGAAUUUUAAUGUUGCAUGUGGAAUGGAGUUUUAAUGUUGUUUUGAUACAA